Molecule: transfer RNA, 67 nt
Filed under: Ictidomys tridecemlineatus (thirteen-lined ground squirrel)
Lineage: Eukaryota; Metazoa; Chordata; Mammalia; Rodentia; Sciuridae
Description: Spermophilus tridecemlineatus (thirteen-lined ground squirrel) tRNA
Rfam family: tRNA
About the family: Transfer RNA (tRNA) molecules are approximately 80 nucleotides in length. Their secondary structure includes four short double-helical elements and three loops (D, anti-codon, and T loops).
Source: Rfam by way of RNAcentral
GGUUAUGGCUCAGUGGUAGAGUGCUUGCCUAGCAUGCAUGAGGCUCUGGGUUCAAUCCUCAGCACCA